CACGUAGGCGGCUUCGUAAGUCAGUUGUGAAAUCCUCCGGCUCAACCGGGGAACUGCUUCUGAUACUGCGGGGCUAGAGUGCGGGAGGGGAGAGUGGAACUCCUGGUGGAGCGGUGAAAUGCGUAGAUAUCAGGAGGAACGCCGGUGGCGAAAGCGACUCUCUGGACCGUCACUGACGCUGAGGUGCGAAAGCUAGGGUAGCAAACA
This 207-nucleotide ribosomal RNA is filed under the name uncultured bacterium. Its description in RNAcentral is "partial 16S ribosomal RNA". It matches the Rfam family "Bacterial small subunit ribosomal RNA", at positions 568 to 774 of the family's 1533-position model. The record is from RNAcentral.